Molecule: ribosomal RNA, 253 nt
Filed under: uncultured bacterium
Lineage: Bacteria
Description: partial 16S ribosomal RNA
Rfam family: Bacterial small subunit ribosomal RNA
Source: RNAcentral
UACGGAGGGUGCAAGCGUUGUCCGGAUUUAUUGGGUUUAAAGGGUGCGUAGGCGGCUUUUUAAGUCAGUGGUGAAAUACAGCAGCUCAACUGUUGAGGUGCCAUUGAUACUGAAGAGCUUGAGUACAGAUGAGGUAGGCGGAAUUUAUGGUGUAGCGGUGAAAUGCAUAGAUACCAUAAAGAACACCGAUUGCGAAGGCAGCUUACUAAGCUGUAACUGACGCUGAGGCACGAAAGCGUGGGGAUCAAACAGG